UACGUAGGUGGCAAGCGUUGUCCGGAUUUACUGGGUGUAAAGGGCGUGCAGCCGGGAGUGCAAGUCAGAUGUGAAAUCCCGCGGCUCAACCGCGGAACUGCAUUUGAAACUGUGCUUCUUGAGUGCUGGAGAGGCAGACGGAAUUCCUAGUGUAGCGGUGAAAUGCGUAGAUAUUAGGAGGAACACCAGUGGCGAAGGCGGCUUACAAAUCUAUAUCGGACGCUGAGGCACGAAAGCGUGGGGAGCAAACAGG
Molecule: ribosomal RNA, 253 nt
Filed under: uncultured Oscillospiraceae bacterium
Lineage: Bacteria; Bacillati; Bacillota; Clostridia; Eubacteriales; Oscillospiraceae
Description: partial 16S ribosomal RNA
Rfam family: Bacterial small subunit ribosomal RNA
Source: RNAcentral